Molecule: ribosomal RNA, 253 nt
Filed under: uncultured bacterium
Lineage: Bacteria
Description: partial 16S ribosomal RNA
Rfam family: Bacterial small subunit ribosomal RNA
Source: RNAcentral
UACGGAGGAUGCAAGCGUUAUCCGGAAUGAUUGGGCGUAAAGCGUCCGCAGGUGGCAAUGUAAGUCUGCUGCCAAAGCGUCUGGCUCAACCAGAUAAAGGCAGUGGAAACUACAUAGCUAGAGUAAGGUAGGGGUAGAGGGAAUUCCUGGUGUAGCGGUGAAAUGCGUAGAGAUCAGGAAGAACACCGGUGGCGAAAGCGCUCUGCUGGACCUAAACUGACACUGAGGGACGAAAGCUAGGGGAGCGAAUGGG